CGGCUGCCAUCACUGUUGGGGGAAUAGAAAAGAAACACUGGACAGACCACCGCAAAGGAGUUUAAGGGCUUCUGGUGCCGCUUUCGAUCUUUGCCAGGUCCUCAGGUAUCACAAAGUCAAAGAGGGAAAGAGACAGAAUACACAAACGAUGGCCAGAUCACAGAUAAAAAUAGAACUUUGACUCGCAACCAACCGGCAACAACUCACCCAGGGAACCACCCCCUUAUCUGCAACAAACAGCCCCGUAAGCCACCUGCUAUGGGUCAGCAAGGGGGUCAGAAGAGACCACCCCCCAAAUAGGGGGAUUAUUUUGAGCUGCUGGCAAUUCAGAAACAGCAGUCACAAACAAACAGAGCUCCGGCUCUUCCCCCAAUCUGCUGAGAAGCAGAGCACAAAAUCCCCUUUGUGAGGGGCUCCCUCCCCUCUCCUGCCCUAGGAAGAGAAGAAUUAGUCACGGAGAUGGGGAGAUGGCGUGGCUUCAGUCUGCAUAAAGCAACCUCGCUGAAAGAACCCUGGCCUUUCAUUGAGUUUCCCCCCCAUGUGUUUACCUUCCCACCGUUCACCGCCCCAAAGCCCACACCCCGUUUCCUCUGUGUAGACACUUCUCCACAGUCGGCUGUGCUUUUCUAAAAACAGUGUAUAAGCUCCCAGGUCUAACCCACAGUGGACCUUCACCUCUCUUCUGCGAAGCCUCUGUGCACAUGUGAAAUAAACAGUGUCUCCUGUUAA
Molecule: long non-coding RNA, 729 nt
Organism: Herpailurus yagouaroundi (jaguarundi)
Lineage: Eukaryota; Metazoa; Chordata; Mammalia; Carnivora; Felidae
Exons: 2
Source: RefSeq, a predicted model, not a curated record